This 477-nucleotide long non-coding RNA is filed under the name Fukomys damarensis (Damara mole-rat). RNAcentral's name for it is "lncRNA (ENSFDAG00000026895.1)". Lineage: Eukaryota; Metazoa; Chordata; Mammalia; Rodentia; Bathyergidae. The record is from RNAcentral.
CGAGCAGACUCUCAGGGUUACCACUGUUGCUGGGAAACCCAGGAGAGCUGGGGAAGGUUUGUGGGUUCCAGCCCACAUUGCUCUAUUUCCUUUCCCGUUUGCUGUUCAACAGAGCCAGAAGACUCAUCUUCCAGGAUUCGGAGGCGUCACACCCGAUUACAUUGUGUGCGAUGUCUCAGCUACUACAUCGGCAAGCUAAGGAAGCUCACGAAGUAGAAAAGCAUAUGGGAGCCACUCAUCAGAUUAAAUGGAAGACACUGGAAUUCUCUGGGACAUUCACAAAGAUGUUUCAAAGGAAUGAUCCAAGAGAAAAAUUACAGCACUAUCUUCCACUACGAACGAGACGGUAUUUGUUUCUUUACCAGCUUAUCACAGAACUCAGGGAAGGGGAAGAAGGAGACAAGUUUCCUCUCUUCUCACCACUAACCAUGGAGCAGAAAGCAUGUGUACGAGUGUUAUGAGAUGCACUUCCAGGAA